AACACGUGGGGAACCGUGCCCCAUAGUCUGGGAUACCACUUGGAAACAGGUGCUAAUACCGGAUAAGAAAGCGGAUCGCAUGAUCAGCUUUUAAAAGGCGGCGUAAGCUGUCGCUAUGGGAUGGCCCCGCGGUGCAUUAGCUAGUUGGUAAGGUAAAGGCUUACCAAGGCGAUGAUGCAUAGCCGAGUUGAGAGACUGAUCGGCCACAUUGGGACUGAGACACGGCCCAAACUCCUACGGGAGGCAGCAGGC
This 252-nucleotide ribosomal RNA is filed under the name uncultured Lactobacillus sp. Its description in RNAcentral is "partial 16S ribosomal RNA". It matches the Rfam family "Bacterial small subunit ribosomal RNA", at positions 112 to 354 of the family's 1533-position model. The record is from RNAcentral. Lineage: Bacteria; Bacillati; Bacillota; Bacilli; Lactobacillales; Lactobacillaceae.